This 412-nucleotide ribosomal RNA is filed under the name uncultured bacterium. RNAcentral describes it as "bacterial SSU rRNA". It matches the Rfam family "Bacterial small subunit ribosomal RNA", at positions 8 to 421 of the family's 1533-position model. The record is from RNAcentral.
AGAGUUUGAUCCUGGCUCAGAAUGAACGCUGGCGGCGUGCCUAACACAUGCAAGUCGGAUGUGCCGCAAGGUGCAUGGCAGACGGGUGAGUAACGCGUAGGGAAUCUACCUUUUUGUGGGGAAUAACGCUCCGAAAGGAGUGGUAAUACCGCAUGAGACCGCAGACUGGGAUGUUUGUGGUGAAACCUGGGGACCGCAAGGCCUGGGGCAAGAAGAGGAUCCUGCGUCUGAUUAGCUAGUUGGCGGGGUAAUGGCCCACCAAGGCGACGAUCAGUAGCCGGCCUGAGAGGGUGAUCGGCCACACUGGAACUGAGACACGGUCCAGACUCCUACGGGAGGCAGCAGUGGGGAAUUUUGCGCAAUGGACGAGAGUCUGACGCAGCAACGCCGCGUGGGUGAUGAAGGUCUUCGG